This is a non-coding RNA of Eimeria acervulina, 46 nucleotides long. The record is from Rfam. NCBI's taxonomy places the organism in Eukaryota, Apicomplexa, Conoidasida, Eucoccidiorida, Eimeriidae.
CCUUAGGCUUCCCUAGAAGCCACCAACCCUCCGUGUCGUUCAUUAU